RNAcentral lists this ribosomal RNA (253 nucleotides) under uncultured bacterium. RNAcentral describes it as "partial 16S ribosomal RNA". It matches the Rfam family "Bacterial small subunit ribosomal RNA", at positions 524 to 776 of the family's 1533-position model. The record is from RNAcentral.
UACGUAGGGUGCGAGCGUUAAUCGGAAUUACUGGGCGUAAAGUGUGCGCAGGCGGCCGAGCAAGUCGAGUGUGAAAGCCCCGGGCUUAACUUGGGAAUUGCGCUCGAAACUACUUGGCUGGAGUGUGGCAGAGGGGGGUGGAAUUCCACGUGUAGCGGUGAAAUGCGUAGAGAUGUGGAGGAACACCAAUGGCGAAGGCAGCCCCCUGGGCCAACACUGACGCUCAUGCACGAAAGCGUGGGGAGCAAACGGG